UACAAUGUUUCAGACUAAUGUAUUUUCCUCUAGACAGUUUUUAAGUAUUACCUAAAUCUAUUACAUUCAUGGGAUGGGAGUGUUUUACACAUGUGACUGUGGCAUAACCUCCUGUAUCAUAAUGGAAAUAUGUUUGAGAACCACCACAAUAGUCCAAAUGCUGAGAUGGGAAUACUUGCUGUAUAGAAUUGCUCUGUUCUCUACACAGAAUUGGUUAUGUUUAGCAAACAGUGUGAUUAUUCUCGGUGUGUUUGUAUAUACAUCUGUGCAUAUGUGAUGGGCACUGUGUUUAUACAUAAAUGCCUGUAUAUAUACCAUUUGAAAGUCCUUGUCAGGAUUGUUUCUGUUUCUGAUCUGGUCUCUUAAAUACUUUAAAACUCAAGAGGUAAAACAUUGUGUGUAUUAUAGGCAAAACUACCCUUGAGUUUAUGGUAGUUUAGUUUGUAGAAAGGAUUCCUGGGUCCUUUAUUAAACUUUGCCUCCUCCAUUCAACAUUCUAUGACUUGUUAAGAAUGUAUAAAGUAUCAUUGUUGAGUUUGACUUUUCUAUACAGUUAGUUAAGAAACCAAGACUAGUGUGAAUUGAGUAAAUGGCAUGUUGAUGCAACCUAUCCAUGUUUUAUAUUUAAUUAGAUUCCUUAUUCAUUUAAUCAAUUAUUUAGUUUCAAGUUAUACUUGGUUGUUUUUAUAUUUAAUAGAUAAGUAUACAUUCUUUUUCAUGAAAAUAGUGGCUAUUAAUGUGAUUUUAAAUAUGGUUAAAGAUUUAAGUGAAUCAUCAAGCUCUUUGGGAUUUUUCACUUCAACUCUGCUGAUAUUCCAUUAAUGUUUUCUGUUUCCCCUGGAUAUUGGCCAUUAGGCAAAUAGCUGUUCCAUUCCAUUCUUCUGGAGAGUGAUCAAUUCUGUAGGAUUAUGGGGUGCUGCGGUGGUUGUGGCAUUCACCCAGAUCACUGAAGCCGUUAUCUUUUCAUCAGAUAGAAUGUCCUGACCACCUGGAAGAGCAAAUGCAACUUCUCCACAUGCCUUAUUCCCCCAGAUGCGCUGAUAUGCUGGAACAAUCUGGCUCCAGAAGUAUUAAUAAUACUUUUUUGAGACUUGUCUAUCAAAUACUAUUUUGUAAGAACUAUGCCUUUAAAUAGACAUUGAUGGGUUAUAUUUGUUUUAUAAUAAUUGUGUACCUAAUGUUCACUUGUGAUUGAUUUUGAGAUUUAUGUAUAUUUAUAAGCCUGUCCUAUGUGAAUUUUUACUCUAUGAUGUGUGGUACCUUACUAAUAAAGACAUGGAUUUCUGUUUAUGUAAAGUAAUGGUAGCAAUAUUCCUAGAUGCUUUCUAAGUGAUUAUUCUGUCCAUAUGAUAUCACGAAUACUCCUGUAUUUAGAGGAUUAUGUUAGAGUUAGAAUAUAUUAACUAGGUUUAAACUUUAAAAUAUAAAUUCUCAACAUGGUUUGAAAUUCUUCAGUUGAUGUAAUUAAAGUUUGUAAUUCUUUACUGCUUUA
This 1492-nucleotide long non-coding RNA is filed under the name Bos taurus (domestic cattle). Its description in RNAcentral is "long non-coding RNA NONBTAT024902". Lineage: Eukaryota; Metazoa; Chordata; Mammalia; Artiodactyla; Bovidae. The record is from RNAcentral.